Molecule: ribosomal RNA, 944 nt
Filed under: Monothalamids sp.
Lineage: Eukaryota; Foraminifera
Description: SSU rRNA
Rfam family: Eukaryotic small subunit ribosomal RNA
Source: RNAcentral
AAGGGCACCACAAGAACGCGUGGAGCAUGUGGCUUAAUUUGACUCAACGCGGGAAAACUUACCGGGUCCGGACACACUGAGGAUUGACAGGUGACCAAUAUUGUAAAUAUGCUAGUCCUUUCAUGAUUGUGUGAUAGGUGGUGCAUGGCCGUUCUUAGUUCGUGGAGUGAUCUGUCUGCUUAAUUGCGUUUCAGAUAUUGGAGUUAUAUGGGUAGGCUGUUAGUGUCCCCGUAACAAGGGACCUUUCUGGCUGAGCCCGGCUCCUUGAAAGCAACGAACGUGACCGCAGCCCUUUGUUGGGAGUCCACCGCUUCGGCGUUGCUGUUGACUCCCUAACUAAGGGGACCGCCAGGUUUUUUAAAACCGGAGGAAGGUUGCGGCAAUAACAGGUCUGUGAUGCCCUUAGAUGUUCCGGGCUGCACACGUGCUACAAUGAUUGUUACAGAAAGUAUCUACUACUGAUUGUUCUCGAAGACUUCGGUCGGAAAGGACCACGGAUGGACUCUAGGCUACUGCGGCUUCGGUCGUAGCUGUGUCUUUUGCCUCCACCGUGAAACCUGCCUCGAAAGUCCGGUAGGCAAUCAAUUCCAAGUGACAAUCUCCCCUGCACAAAUCAAAUGCCACUGCGGAAGGACCUUAGUGUCCGGAAGCAGUUGACAUGUGCUCUAUAAAUUCGUGGUCGGGACAGACCAUUGCUAAUUGUUGGUCUCGGUCUCAACUAGGAAUGCCUUGUACGGGUCUUUGGUUCAACAAACCACCCGGAAUACGUCCCUGCCCUUUGUACACACCGCCCGUCGCUCUUACCGAUGGACUUCGCUGUGAGUUUGAGGGACUGGCGUCCACUCCUCGUGAGUGCGAUGCUAUGGAAACUCAAACGAACAGUGUGGUCUAAAGGAAAGAGAAGUCGUAACAAGGCAUCGGUAGGUGAACCUGCAGAAGGAUCA